AUUGGUGCCAUCAGGAUCUAGUCUCCUUCCUUUGCAAGGUCCCCUGUACCUUGUGUGCAUCCUGAGGAGCCUAUAGCAAGGUCAGCUGACUGCUAAGCCCUCUGUUCUGCCAUUAAAGUGUGAGUGAUAAACCAUCGGACUCCUCUUUAUAUAGAACUAAUUACUUCUUACCAACAAAGCUACAGAGGACACAUUAACACUGUCGCCUGAAAUGACCCCGCAGUUUAUCCUUCCUCACAAGCAGAAUUACACACAAAGAAAUAAACGUUAUUUUCCUCAUAUUGUA
This 286-nucleotide long non-coding RNA is filed under the name Rattus norvegicus (Norway rat). Its description in RNAcentral is "long non-coding RNA NONRATT017712". The record is from RNAcentral. Lineage: Eukaryota; Metazoa; Chordata; Mammalia; Rodentia; Muridae.